UGCAGGCAGAUACAGGGCCUUCGUCGACUGGCGUAAAAAUGGGACGGAUAACUUCAUCAUUAAGUGUGGUGAUGUCAUACAACUACAGCAUGAGGAAAAUGAUGGCCAGUGGCUGGUGAAGAAUCUGAGUCGCAGACAGGAAGGCCGUAUCCCUACUGCCAACCUGCAGGGCAUCCUGGGGGAAAGCCUCAAGAAUCACUCCAACCGGCUUGGAGACCCAGGGAAUCGUAAAGCACGGAAGCUCAGCUCGCCAUGAAGGAAUGGCCCAGUGCAAUAUUGGACCUUUAAUAUUCACGCUUGGUAG
RNAcentral lists this long non-coding RNA (304 nucleotides) under Sinocyclocheilus rhinocerous. RNAcentral's name for it is "lncRNA (ENSSRHG00000037842.1)". Lineage: Eukaryota; Metazoa; Chordata; Actinopteri; Cypriniformes; Cyprinidae. The record is from RNAcentral.